GUGGGGACAGAGUGGGUGGCGGAAAGGCAGACGUAGGGCAGGAGAGAGAUGCCGGAAGAAGUGCCACACUGUGGGGGGCACACUGGGGCCCCUACCCCCCAGGGGCACUCCGGCUUUAGGCAAGGGCACGUGCCCGAGCUCUCCCGGUGCUGACACCAGGCCUGGCGCUCCGCUGGUUCUUGCCAGAGGCGGUGUGUCUCUCUUUCCUCCUUCCUUUUUUUCUGAGACACAGUGAUCUUGGCUGUGGUGCCACAUUCACUCUAUGGGAAAAACUUGUUUUUGUCGGUAAACUCUGGCGCUAUGACUCAGAAGACACCCAGGGAGCAGCCUCCUGGUGUCAAGGGGCUGCUCUGCUAAUGAGCUCAUGUUUAUAAAAGUGCUUUGAAGACGAAAAAUUCCACAACAAGAUCAAGUACUGAAGUAGCCCCUUCCCCAGUGCUUGGCACAGUCAGCAAGUAGCUCCUGUCAUUCAUUCACUUGACCAACACAUCCGCCUGUGCCAGGCAUGGGCCACAAAACUGGAACCAAAGAAGAUGGGUUCUGCCCUCUUGGAUGUUACAUCCUGGAUGGGAUAUGGCAUCUAACAGAAGGAGCUGUCACCUUCUUACAAACGAGGAGACGGCUCUAAGGAAGGUGUGGAGUUCCCAAGUGAAGCGGGAGAGAGAGCACAUGGGGCAGAGACAGCAGCAUUAAUUACUUAAUGAAUCCAACAAACCUUUAGUGAAUGCCUACUAUGUGUCCGGCACCUGGGAUGCAGGCUCUGGUGCUGUGGCCAAGAGACUCCCAGGGAUGGGGACGUGCUCCCAGGCUCUGGUUACAUCUAAGAGAAAAGCAGGAAGCCCCGGCCUCAGCUGACAGCACCUGGGCUUUGCCUCCUCGGUAACCUUGGCAGAUUGUUCUUGGCCUACUCAUCCCUUCCGCUCAGCACUCCCUGCCGGGAGCCCCAGCUUCCUACCUGGUGUGCUGGGCCCUUUGGCUUCUGGGGAGUGUUCUGGACACUUGAGGAAGCUCAGCGGGAAUGAAGGCCCCGUGCCCCAUCAGAGGUGCUGGGUGUCCGCGCCCCGGGCAAGAAUGGCACCCUCUCCGUGUGGCCCCGCUCCCUAGAUCAGAGGCCCGGCUGGCUGUGGUUUGCCUUUGAUUAAUAAAGAAUGGGGAAGCAAAUCGAUUACCUCUUCACACGCGCAGGGAAGACUCUCUCCAGGCUUGGCGGACUCUUCUUCAUGAAGAGGUUGGAACACGCAGAAAGACUUGGCCGGAGGACCCCCCCUUCCCACCCUGCUGCCCCAGUCCCGGUGGGAAUUGUACAUCUGUGUUGGAACCCGAGAAGGGACUGAGUAUCUCAGUUAAAAGCUUCGGGUAUGUGGGACCACGAAGGAUGGGGAGGGACAGGGGUGGCACCUGUCCCUCAGAGGUCCUCUCACCAGUGGGAUGCUUGGGCUUCUGAGGAAUGAGAAUUAUCCGCACCUGAAUCCCCACCCCUUUGGCGGGAUUUCUGAGCUGAUAUUCUGGAAACCAGAUGGUGUUCCCAGAUGCCUGCAGGUCUGGCUGUCUCGGAACCUCCAGGAGGGCGGUUAAUGCAGAUUCCAGGGCUGCAGCAGGUCUGAGGAGGGGCCCGGGGAAUAUGGGAUUUUCAGCAGCUUCCAGGGCAGAGGCGCCAGGACCGAGUUCGAGGGCCAUUGGUCUAGAGUGGAAGGAAGCAGCAGGGUGUCGGGGACACCGCUCUGCGAGCACCCAGACCCGGGGGCCAGUCCCAGCUCACAUGGUGAGAACCAUGUGACACUGGGCGGGUGACACCCCUUCUCUGAUCCCAGGGUCCCUGCCUGUAAGAUACUGAGGAUGCUAGCUGUGUCGUAGAGUGGUACAGGGCCUGCCCAGUGCCCAGUCCGGGGCAGUUCUUGUUGUCACUGUCCUGUCCUUGUCCUUGGGAGGGAGGAGGGGAGAACUGCUUUGGAACACUUGUGUGGUCUCUGACUCCAGUUAUCACUGCCCCCUCACCCUGAAACCCUCCACCGGAAUCAGGACCAAGUCAGGCCUCCUCUCUCUGAGUCUGGGUUGCUGCCCUGUGGGGGUGGUGGGGGCCAAGGACCCCUGGGGGAGGAGGGUUGGGAGGCAAGUCACCCCCCGCCCCCUGGCCAAGGGGCCAGCCUCCUCCGCGGACACCUUCCGUGGGCCAUCUGCUCUGGCUGACGUGGUGAGGCUCCCAGUGAUGUGUUUACGUGUGGGUUUCCUCUUGGGGCUCAGUUCUCUGAAGAGGGCCCCUUGUCUACCCUUCACUUUCCCCCAGAGCAGCCUGCAGAUUCACCCCAGGAGGUGACACUGGGAACGUUGAGGUGGGGGGGGGGGCGGCGGCUGUUGUUUUUACCUGCGCAGCACCCAGCCCUCCCCCUCAGUUCCCUAGGUCAUGUGGUUCCCCAUCCUCUGUUGGGGACAAGCAUGUGAUCCUGGCCUGGCCAUCCUUCUGGCCACAGGGCUUGGUGGGCGCCAUCAUGUGAAGGUGAGACUGUCUUUCUGCUGGCAGUCUGGGCUGGUAGGGUUUAUUGCUGGGGUCAACCACAUGGACACCUGUGCGAAGAUGAAGCCAGCACGGUAGAGGGAAGGACAGAGAGGGAGAGAAAAAGAGAUGAUAGUAUUUGAGCACCUGGAUCCAGCCUUGCCUGAGCCCGCUAUCUGCUUUGGCUUACGCAAGUUUGAGUCGGGUUUCUAUACUUGUUUCACCCACUUAUCUGUCCACCUUCUACUCUUCCAUCCCACAUUUGUUCAACUCUUGCUUCAUACCAGCCUCUAUGCUAGGACCUCAGCCCUCUUGGCUGGAAGGGGGAGGUGACAAGGUGACACAAGCUUUUCAUGGCUAGGGAAGCUAGGAGCUGCCUCAGAGGUGAGUGCUGGGGGCUGUGGAUGUGAGAAUUUCCAUGUUGUGGGGAGGGGGGAAUCCUGGCAGGCUUUCUGGAGGAGGUGACUUUUGUGCAGGGCUCUGAGGCAAGGCAGGAUUUCACCGGUUAGAGAAUUGAGCAGAAGGAGUCAGAAAAAGGCAGGUCAGAGAAGACCAGGAUCAGUUGAACCCUGCUGCCCCGUGGUGGAGGGGUUGGGAUUUUAGGGACUGUUGGGCUGUAUGUAAUAGUAAUACUCACUGGUAAUCAGUCACCAACAUUUGUCCAGCAAGCGCUGUGCUAGAACUUGGUGCUUAUUUCUCAUUGGUUCUCUUCACCUCCCUGAAGGGGGAGAAUGUACAUAUGCCCAUUGAUAGGUGAGGAAACUGAGGCCCAGUGGUGGCAACCUUCUUGAGGCUUCAUGAACACCAAGGGGCCAGCAUGGCUCUCUGACUUCCAUCCCAAGUUCUUAACUGCUCAGGCCCACGUGAGUCCUUCUGGGGCUCUGUGUCUUUAGCUGCGUCCUUGGGAGGAGGUUGGGGUGGAGGCCAAAGACAAAGCCCUGGAGAGUUCUGGAGUUUCCAGGCUGUGUGUGGGAUGGGGGCUUGCCCUGCAGGUCGUUCCCAGGACUGGGAUGGAGACACUGGGUGAUUGCUGUGGGACCCUCAACCCCUGUGCCCUCCCCCAGCCUGCCCUCUCCCAUCUUCACCCUGGCAGCCAGAGCGAUGGAACCUUUGAGGGCAUUAUCUGCUCAGGUAUCCCUUGCCAAACAGUCUUCAAUGGCUCCCUAUUGCCCCAGACUCUCUUCCUUUGCUAACAGGCUUUUCAUUCUCUGGCCCUGCCCCCUCCCCCAGCCUCUUUUCUGAGGCUCAGACUCACACUGAACAGUGGCCACCCUCCCCUCUGAGUCCCUGGAGGCCUGGCACCCUUCCAGCCUCUGUGAGUCAGUCCAGGUACCCUGUUUCGGUGGAGACUGGGGCCCUUUCUGGGCCUGCCGCUCACUCUUCAUGGCACUUACUGCUGAACUACCAGCGGGUGUGUCUGAGUCUCCAGCUUGACUGGAUUCCCCCUGAGACCAGAAGCUCAGGUCUUGGCACACGGGGGCUCACGAUCGGUGCAGGAAAUGCAUGGGUCCAAGCUUUCUUGGCUUCUAAAGAGAAGCCCUCACCACUCCAAGAAUCACCUCAUUUCCAGGGCACUGAGUAGAAAAAUGAGGAGAGAGAGACACCCCCACUCACCCCAGAAGUUUGCCUGCAGGCUUAGCUUCCGUUAAAGCAGACUGGACCCCUGAGCCUCGCUGUGCUGUGCUGACAGCUGAGGCUUCCCCUGAGAUUCCAGAGUUCCAAGGUGGGCUGUGGAGAGGGAGGGGUGGAGGGGCGGAGAGGGUCCCUUCCUGGAUGGCUGUGGGGUGAUGACUUCAAUAGGCUGGGCGGAAUGGUCCUGCCCCUGCCCUUCGCUUGGCCGGUGAAUGUGAUACCCCCUGGUGAGCACGGUCCCCUUUUGGCCCACCACCACUCAGCCAGAGCCCCCCUGCCUCGAAGGCCCUGAGGCUGGCUGGACCCUGUGGGACAGGGACUCCGUGGGACAGAUGGCUCUAGUAGUGCCCAGUGCAUCCACCUUGCUCGCUUCAAUGUCCGCGCUGUCUUAGCAGGUGCUUGAUACAUUUUAUUUUGAGUGUGGCAGGAAUGAUGGUUCCCGAGUUCCCACUUCUGGAAAGGGGGCCGCCCCUAGGAUCUUCUCAGAGAGACUUAGAAAAAACAGACACCUGUACUGCCAUGUUCAUAGCAGCAUGAGUCACGGAGUUAUAAUGUGGAAAGAGUCCAUGUGUCCACCGACAGAUGGACGGACGGACGGACAAUUGGACAUGAUGUGGUUGGCCUAUCGGAACAACAGAAUAUUAGUUGGCCUUCAAAAGGGAGGUGAUGUUGCCUCCUGCUGCCUCCUCGGGCAAAGCCCAGAGGACAUGGUCUAAGCCAGGGAGGCCAGUCACAAAAGAACAAGUCCUGUGUGAUCCCACUGGUGUGGGGGACCUGGGGUCAUCCGGGGUAGAGGGUGGGACCAGGGGUCAACGGGGACAGGAUCUCAGUUUCGCAGGAAGGAAAGAGGUCUGGAGAUGGACGGCGUGAAUGUACUUUGUGCUGCU
Long non-coding RNA from Canis lupus familiaris (dog), 5010 nucleotides. RefSeq lists it as uncharacterized. The record is from RefSeq and is a predicted model, not a curated record. The transcript is spliced from 4 exons. NCBI's taxonomy places the organism in Eukaryota, Metazoa, Chordata, Mammalia, Carnivora, Canidae.